UCUGGCGGCAGUAGCGCGGUGGUCCCACCUGACCCAUGCCGAACUCAGAAGUGAAACGCCGUAGCGCCGAUGGUAGUGUGGGGUCUCCCCAUGCGAGAGUAGGGAACUGCCAGAC
This 115-nucleotide ribosomal RNA is filed under the name Escherichia coli. The record is from RNAcentral. Lineage: Bacteria; Pseudomonadati; Pseudomonadota; Gammaproteobacteria; Enterobacterales; Enterobacteriaceae.